Molecule: ribosomal RNA, 501 nt
Filed under: uncultured bacterium
Lineage: Bacteria
Description: partial 16S ribosomal RNA
Rfam family: Bacterial small subunit ribosomal RNA
Source: RNAcentral
GAUGAACGCUAGCGGCAGGCCUAACACAUGCAAGUCGAGGGGCAGCACAGAAACAGCAAUGUUUUGGUGGCGACCGGCGGACGGGUGCGUAACGCGUAUGCAACCUACCUUUAACAGGGGGAUAACGGAGAGAAAUUUCCACUAAUACCCCAUAACAUCGAUCAAGGCAUCUUGAUUGGUUGAAAACUCCGGUGGUUAAAGAUGGGCAUGCGUUGUAUUAGGUAGUUGGUGAGGUAAUGGCUCACAAGCCUACGAUACAUAGGGGGACUGAGAGGUGACCCCCCCACACGGGAACUGCGACACAGACCAGACUCCUACGGGAGGCAGCAGUGAGGAAUAUUGGUCAAUGGGGGCAACCCUGAACCAGCCAUGCCGCGUGCAGGAAGACGGCUCUAUGAGUUGUAAACUGCUUUUAAACAGGGAUAAAGCACAGUAUGUAUACUGUGUUGAAGGUACUGUAAGAAUAAGGAUCGGCUAACUCCGUGCCAGCCGCCGCCGUAA